RNAcentral lists this ribosomal RNA (1250 nucleotides) under metagenome. RNAcentral's name for it is "SSU rRNA". It matches the Rfam family "Eukaryotic small subunit ribosomal RNA", at positions 171 to 1377 of the family's 1831-position model. The record is from RNAcentral.
GGGCAACUCAUUUUGACUUGAAGGGAAGCACUUGUUAGCCAGGCAAGCCAAUGCGGGAGCAAUCCCGGAGGAUGGCGAGUCAUAACAAUUGAGCGAAUCGCAAGCCCUUGAGGCGGCGAUGCACCAUUCAAACUUCUGCCCUACCAACUUUCGAUGGUAGGAUCGGGGCCUACCAUGGUCGUAACGGGUAACGGGGAAUUAGGGUUUGAUUCCGGAGAGGGAGCUCGAGAAACGGCUACCACUUCCAAGGAAGGCAGCAGGCGCGCAAAUUACCCACUGGCGACACGCCGAGGUAGUGACAACAAAUAAGUAGGUAGGUCUCAUUAGGGAUUUGCCAUACGAAUGAGUACAAUUUAAACCCCUUAACGAAAGCCACUGGAGGGCAAGUCUGGUGCCAGCAGCCGCGGUAAUUCCAGCUCCAGUAGCGUAUAUUAAAGCUGUUGCGGUUAAAAAGCUCGUAGUCGGAACUGAAGACUGUCAGAAGACUGGUCCAUGCAUAGUCAUGAGUACUGGUCAUCGAGUCUUUAUAAACUUCUGGAUGCCUGCUCCUGCUCUUUAUUGAGUGGAAGUAACAAGCAAGCUGUGUUGGCAACAAUGCAGAUUGUGAAGGUUCCAGAUCGAUUACUUUGAGAAAAUUAGAGUGUUCAAAGCAGGCGGUCACGCCUUGAAUACAUUAGCAUGGGAUAAUGCCAUGGGACUCUGAGCCCAUUUCGUUGGUUUCUGGGAAUGGAGUCACGAUCAACAGGGACAGUUGGGGUGAUUCAUAUUUUGCCGACAGGGGUGAAAUCCUAUGACCGGCGAAAGAUGAACUAGUGCGAAAGCAUUUCACAAGGAUGUUUUCAUUGAUCAAGAACGAAAGUUGAGGGAUCGGAGGCGAUCAGAUACCGCCCUAGUCUCAACCAUAAACCAUGCCGACCAGGGAUCGGGAGACGUUCAAAUUAUACGACUCCCCCGGCACCUUGUGAGAAAUCACAAGUCUUUGGGCUUCGGGGGGAGUAUGGUCGCAAGGCUGAAACUUAAAGGAAUUGACGGAACGACACCACCAGGAGUGGAGCCUGCAGCUUAAUUCGACUCAACACGGGAAAACUCACCAGGUCCAGACAGCGGAAGGAUGUACAGACUUGCAGAUCUUUAUUGAUUCGCUGGGUGGUGGUGCAUGGCCGUUCUUGGCUCGUGCGUUGACUUGUCUGGUUAAUUCCGUUAACGAGCGAGACCUCAGCCUGCUAAAUAGUCAGUGGACUCCUUUUCAC